Molecule: ribosomal RNA, 509 nt
Filed under: uncultured Glomus
Lineage: Eukaryota; Fungi; Glomeromycota; Glomeromycetes; Glomerales; Glomeraceae
Description: SSU rRNA
Rfam family: Eukaryotic small subunit ribosomal RNA
Source: RNAcentral
AGCAGCCGCGGUAAUUCCAGCUCCAAUAGCGUAUAUUAAAGUUGUUGCAGUUAAAAAGCUCGUAGUUGAAUUUCGGGACUAAUAUGUCGGUCGUACUUUGUACGUACUAGCAUUAUUGGUUUCUCCCUUCUGACGAACCACGAUGUCAUUAAUUUGGUGUCAUGGGAAAUCAGGACUGUUACUUUGAAAAAAUUAGAGUGUUUAAAGCAAGCUCGCGCUUGAAUACAUUAGCAUGGAAUAAUGAAAUAGGACGUUUGAUUCUAUUUUGUUGGUUUCUAGGAUCGACGUAAUGAUUAAUAGGGAUAGUUGGGGGCAUUAGUAUUCAAUUGUCAGAGGUGAAAUUCUUGGAUUUAUUGAAGACUAACUACUGCGAAAGCAUUUGCCAAGGAUGUUUUCAUUAAUCAAGAACGAAAGUUAGGGGAUCGAAGACGAUCAGAUACCGUCGUAGUCUUAACCAUAAACUAUGCCGACUAGGGAUCGGAUGAUGUAAUUUUUAAUGACUCAUUCGG